This 88-nucleotide transfer RNA is filed under the name Tilletia horrida. RNAcentral's name for it is "tRNA-Glu". It matches the Rfam family "tRNA". Rfam says of the family: Transfer RNA (tRNA) molecules are approximately 80 nucleotides in length. The record is from RNAcentral. Lineage: Eukaryota; Fungi; Basidiomycota; Exobasidiomycetes; Tilletiales; Tilletiaceae.
UCCUCGUUCGUCUAGUGGCUAAGAUAUAUCGCUCUCAUUACUCGCAGGGCGCUCCGAUAAGACCCGGGUUCGAUUCCCGGACGGGGAA